AGAGUUUGAUUCUGGCUCAGAACGAACGGUAGCGGCGUGGAUUAGGCAUGCAAGUCGUACGUGAUCCUCGCUUCGGUGAGGUGAAAGUGGCGAACGGGUGAGUAAUGCAUAGCUAACCUACCCCCGGCUCGGGGAUAACCAGGAGAAAUCUUGGCUAAUACCCGAUAGGCUCGCGGAAUUGCAUGUUUCUGCGAGUAAAGACGGCCUCUUAACAAUGCUGUCAGCCGAGGACGGGACUAUGUCCUAUCAGCUAGUUGGUAGGGUAAUGGCCUACCAAGGCGAUGACGGGUAGCCGACCUGAGAGGGUGACCGGCCACACUGGGACUGAGACACUGCCCAGACUCCUACGGGAGGCUGCAGUCGAGAAUCUUCCGCAAUGGGGGAAACCCUGACGGAGCGACGCCGCGUGCGGGAUGAAGGCCUUCGGGUUGUAAACCGCUGUCACGGAUUAUGAAGGGCCUGGUAUUAAUCAUACUUGGCUUUGACAAAGGUCCGGGAGGAAGCCACGGCUAACUCUGUGCCAGCAGCCGCGGUAAGACAGAGGUGGCGACCGUUGUUCGGAAUCACUGGGCAUAAAGCGCGUGUAGGCGGCAUUGUAAGUCGGGUGUGAAAUCCCUCGGCCUAACCGAGGAAUUGCGCUCGAAACUACUUUGCUUGAGGAUCAGAGGGGAGCCUGGAAUUCCUGGUGGAGCGGUGAAAUGCGUUGAUAUCAGGAGGAACACCGGCGGCGAAGGCGAGGCUCUGGCUGAUUUCUGACGCUGAGACGCGAAAGCUAGGGGAGCAAACGGGAUUAGAUACCCCGGUAGUCCUAGCCGUAAACGAUGGGUACUAGGUAGGGGGGCACCCAAUGCCUCCCUGCUGGAGCAAAUGUAUUAAGUACCCCGCCUGGGGAGUAUAGUCGCAAGGCUGAAACUCAAAGGAAUUGACGG
This 929-nucleotide ribosomal RNA is filed under the name uncultured bacterium. Its description in RNAcentral is "bacterial SSU rRNA". It matches the Rfam family "Bacterial small subunit ribosomal RNA", at positions 8 to 916 of the family's 1533-position model. The record is from RNAcentral.